CUAUCAGGUAGUAGUGGGUCUAAUGUACCUACUAGCCUACGACGGGUACGGGUUGUGAGAGCAAGAGCCCGGAGAUGGAUUCUGAGACACGAAUCCAGGCCCUACGGGGUGCAGCAGGCGCGAAAACUUUACAAUGCCGGCAACGGCGAUAAGGGAACCUCGAGUGCCAGGUUACAAAUCUGGCUGUCGUGAUGCCUAAAAAGCAUUGCAUAGCAAGGGCCGGGCAGGACCGGUGCCAGCCGCCGCGGUAACACCGGCGGCUCGAGUGGUAACCGUUAUUAUUGGGUCUAAAGGGUCUGUAGCCGGCCGGAUAAGUCUCUUGGGAAAUCCAGCAGCUCAACUGUUGGGCUUCCAGGAGAUACUGUCUGGCUCGAGGCCGGGAGAGGUGAGAGGUACUUCAGGGGUAGGGGUGAAAUCUUGUAAUCCUUGAAGGACCACCAGUGGCGAAGGCGUCUCACCAGAACGGACCUGACGGCAAGGGACGAAAGCUAGGGGCACGAACCGGAUUAGAUACCCGGGUAGUCCUAGCCGUAAACGAUACUCGCUAGGUGUCGGCCACGGUGCGACCGUGGUCGGUGCCGUAGGGAAGCCGUGAAGCGAGCCACCUGGGAAGUACGGCCGCAAGGCUGAAACUUAAAGGAGUUGGCGGGGGAGCACUACAACGGGUGGAGCCUGCGGUUUAAUUGGAUUCAACGCCGGAAAUCUUACCGGGACCGACAGCAAUAUGAAGGCCAGGCUGAAGACUUUGCCGGAUUAGCUGAGAGGUGUUGCAUGGCCGUCGUCAGUUCGUACUGUGAAGCAUCCUGUUAAGUCAGGCAACGAGCGAGACCCACGCCCACAGUUGCCAGCGUACUCUCCGGAGUGACGGGUACACUGUGGGGACCGCCGCUGCUAAAGCGGAGGAAGGAAUGGGCAACGGUAGGUCAGUAUGCCCCGAAUAUCCCGGGCUACACGCGGGCUACAAUGGUUGGUACAAUGGGUAUCUACCCCGAAAGGGGAUGGAAAUCUCCUAAAGCCAAUCUUAGUCCGGAUUGAGGGCUGCAACUCGCCCUCAUGAAGCUGGAAUCCGUAGUAAUCGCGUUUCAACAGAACGCGGUGAAUACGUCCCUGCUCCUUGCACACACCGCCCGUCAAACCACCCGAGUAGGGUUUGAAUGAGGGCGCUUCCUCUGGAGGCGUUCGAAUUUGAGCUCUGCAAGGGGGGUUAAGUCGUAACAAGGUA
This 1222-nucleotide ribosomal RNA is filed under the name metagenome. Its description in RNAcentral is "bacterial SSU rRNA". It matches the Rfam family "Archaeal small subunit ribosomal RNA", at positions 222 to 1445 of the family's 1478-position model. The record is from RNAcentral.